RNAcentral lists this ribosomal RNA (549 nucleotides) under uncultured bacterium. RNAcentral describes it as "bacterial SSU rRNA". It matches the Rfam family "Bacterial small subunit ribosomal RNA", at positions 356 to 896 of the family's 1533-position model. The record is from RNAcentral.
AGGGAAUCUUCGGCAAUGGACGGAAGUCUGACCGAGCAACGCCGCGUGAGUGAAGAAGGUUUUCGGAUCGUAAAGCUCUGUUGUAAGAGAAGAACGAGUGUGAGAGUGGAAAGUUCACACUGUGACGGUAUCUUACCAGAAAGGGACGGCUAACUACGUGCCAGCAGCCGCGGUAAUACGUAGGUCCCGAGCGUUGUCCGGAUUUAUUGGGCGUAAAGCGAGCGCAGGCGGUUAGAUAAGUCUGAAGUUAAAGGCUGUGGCUUAACCAUAGUAGGCUUUGGAAACUGUUUAACUUGAGUGCAAGAGGGGAGAGUGGAAUUCCAUGUGUAGCGGUGAAAUGCGUAGAUAUAUGGAGGAACACCGGUGGCGAAAGCGGCUCUCUGGCUUGUAACUGACGCUGAGGCUCGAAAGCGUGGGGAGCAAACAGGAUUAGAUACCCUGGUAGUCCACGCCGUAAACGAUGAGUGCUAGGUGUUAGACCCUUUCCGGGGUUUAGUGCCGUAGCUAACGCAUUAAGCACUCCGCCUGGGGAGUACGACCGCAAAGUUG